CUACGGAGGGUGCAAGCGUUAAUCGGAAUUACUGGGCGUAAAGCGCGCGUAGGUGGUUUUGUAAGUUGGAUGUGAAAUCCCUGGGCUCAACCUGGGAACUGCAUUCAAAACUGCAAGACUAGAGUAUAGUAGAGGCAAGUGGAAUUCCAGGUGUAGCGGUGAAAUGCGUAGAUAUCUGGAGGAACAUCAGUGGCGAAGGCGACUUGCUGGACUAAUACUGACACUGAGGUGCGAAAGCGUGGGUAGCAAACAGGAUUAGAUACCCCAGUAGUCC
This 274-nucleotide ribosomal RNA is filed under the name uncultured bacterium. RNAcentral describes it as "partial 16S ribosomal RNA". It matches the Rfam family "Bacterial small subunit ribosomal RNA", at positions 523 to 796 of the family's 1533-position model. The record is from RNAcentral.